GUUGAGGUGGUUAUCAACUUUGAGCACAGAUAAGUGCAAAAUUUGCACAAAGCUCUCUCUUGAAACAAAGCCCCAGAAAUUUUCCUUCUAAAACUGCACCUGCACACACCCCCAACACACAUCACACACGCACACAAAUAUAAAACAACACACGUAUACACACGAACAUUUCUCUUAUUUUCCUCUCCAGCCAUCAUUCUCAGGGAUCAGCAUGGUUUUGGUUGCUUGCUAUGCCAUGUAUUUUCUGGAAACUGCCAUUUUCAAACCAGAGGUGAUUAUAGAUCGAUGAGGCUGCUGCACCAGUUCAGUGCGAUUCUCUUUUUCAGGGAGUACCUCUUACUUCGCUCUUAUAUUGUGUGAUAUUGUCAUGAUGGAUAUAAUUUGGCAGGUUGAUUUUAUUUUGGUAUUUUCUUAAUGACAUUUAAAUUAGUAUGAUUUUUUUUUCACUGGCUUCUUUAGUUUAGUUGUAGGAAUGGUGUUGGGAUGUGAUUUUGGUCCCUUGGCCAAUUUUUGGCUUGCUUGGUACCAACAUAUUUAAACCUUGGCAUAUGAAUUCUUGAAUUUUGAAAAAGAAAAAUGAUUGAAGUAAGGAUUCUUGUUGUGACAUUUAGACUCAAUGUUUGGCUCUUUUGUUCCCUAAAUAGUCUCUUUAGACUAGAAGUUUUGAGUUCAUUUGUUUCAAUUGGGUUUUUGAUAUAUAUAUUCUACUUGGGUUUUCAUGUGCCAUGUGUGGUGAGGUUUAUUUGUGAGUUCUUUUGCAUAUCUUGUGGUCUAGAACUUGUCUGGAAUGUGUUUUAAGGCGAAAUCCUAGAUUAACUUGGUUUGGAAAAUGAUAUUAGACCUUCCUUGGAUCGUUUUUGUGCCCUUAAUUUCCUACCCUUGCAUAUUUUCCCUAGUCAACCCCUUUUGAGCCUUUAACCUUUUCUUUGACAACCAUGUUACAAGUUUUUCCCCUUUUGUUCCUCAUUGACCUAUCUUUUGGCAUCCUACCUCCCUAAGUGUUUUGAAAGUGCAAACAUAGGCUAAAAGCCUAAGUUUGGGGGUGAUGGUUGGAAAAGUUGUGAUGUGGGAGUUACUUUAAUGGUGAAAAGGUGGGAAAAAAAAGUACUGUAGUAGAAUAGAAAAGAAAAAAAUUUGGAAACUUCCUUGUUAUUUUGAAAAAGAAAAAAAAAGAAAGCAAUAAUAAAGAAUUGUGAAUAAAGGGACGACUAGGUGGUGAAAUAAAAAAUUAAAAAAAAUGGUGGGGAAGUUUUGAAAGGAAGUGCGCUUUGAUUGUUGCAAAUUCUAGUGCUUAGGGAGGUUUUGAGUCACUCUUACCCAAAUUGUGCCCUACUUUAACCAAAAGUCUACAUUACAACCCUUUAAGUCAUAAUUGAUUUUGAACCAAGUGUGUCUACAUUAGUGGAGAAAUACAUAAAGGGCAAGCCUAUGGUACUAAUUGUGUGCAUUUGAACAUCUUCGUGAGAGAGAGAGUUAAUUCUUUCCAUUUGAUAUCCCAUUUGUGUUUUAAAUUGCAUUUUAUGAGUUGGGAUUCUCUCUUGAUUGUGAGGGCACAUGAGAAUUUGAGUUGUAAAUUUGUUCCAUUUUUCAAUUGAGAGGAAUGAACAAAAGAAAGUUGUUUUAUGAUAAUGAGGGGCAAAUUUUGAAUCCUUAAUGUCAUGACUUGAUUGCUUUUUUGAUUAACUUGGUGUUUGAGCACUUGAAAUGAAAUGAAAUUUUUGAGAAGUUGUUGGUGAUAUGUCUUAAAUUAAUUGUUGGUACCAACCAAAGUCAUGCGGUUGUGCUUAUAGUAGACUUUUUGACUUGGUACGAUGUUGGUGCACUUUUGAAUUGGGUCCUUAGAAAGAAAUUUUAUGUUUUGAUUUGCUUGAGGACAAGCAAUAGUUUAAGUUUGAAGGUUUGAUAAGUUAGUAAAAUACCAACUUAUCUCUUCUUUAAUCUUAAGAUUUUUGCUACAUUGUUUGAGAAAUAGUGCAUUUAAUGUGGUUUACUUUUAUGAUAUUUAGAAGUGAUCGGGAAAGAAACCAAGUGAAAACAAGUCAAAUUGAAGAAAAUGUCAAAAUUGGCUAGAAUUGCAAAAACAGCCAGAACUUAAAUGCUGAAAAUUAAGGGCUGUUUUGGUCAUUUCCUGAUUUGAGAAGGGGGAAAUAUAAAAGGAAGACUUGGGGGAAAACAUUUUCAUCUUUGGUCAUUUUUCAAGCUUAGGAGCAAGAACCACACCAAGGGGUUGAAGAUUUGGAAGCACUCAAUGAGAAUUUCUUUACCCAUUUCUUUAACUCUAGCUUUGUAUUGUAUAUCUAAGGGUGUAGCAUAUUAUUUAUCACUUUAAUCAUGUUUAUGGAAAUAUUCAUUUGUUAAAGUUUGGAUUGAAACUCUUGUUUUGCUUAUUUAUUGAAUGACUUUUAUUUCUAA
This is a long non-coding RNA of Lycium barbarum (goji berry), 2412 nucleotides long. RefSeq lists it as uncharacterized. The transcript has 2 exons. NCBI's taxonomy places the organism in Eukaryota, Viridiplantae, Streptophyta, Magnoliopsida, Solanales, Solanaceae. The record is from RefSeq and is a predicted model, not a curated record.